Non-coding RNA from Phalacrocorax carbo (great cormorant), 3731 nucleotides. The record is from RefSeq and is a predicted model, not a curated record. NCBI's taxonomy places the organism in Eukaryota, Metazoa, Chordata, Aves, Suliformes, Phalacrocoracidae.
GCAAGUGCAAGCAGAUAUGCUCUAUGGCAGAGAUCUUCAGGCAGCAACGAAGCACUUGACGACUCUGUGCUGAAGCAGGCAGGGGCUUGUGAAAAGUGAGCAAAGAGCAUUGCCCGUGAAGGACUCGUCUGGAAGAAUUGUUCCAGGACGGUUUCUGUGCACAGGGGAGGUUGUGUGUGCAGGAGCCUGCUCGCUCUGAGCCUGCGUUCGGUGGCAUGUGUCGGGAUUUUCACCUAGAGAAUGAGGCCGUCCCCUCUCCCCUCCUGGAUUGCCAUAUCCCUUCCGCGCUGCUCUGCCAAACUCCAGACAGAGAGGCCAUAGCACGGUGCCAGUCUGCCAUGAGCAGGCGCCAAAGCGUUACCACUUUGUGUUAAACCAUUGCGCUGGAAGGAAAAGUAGAAGCCUCAGACCUUAAAACUAGGGGUGUAAAGGUCGUCCUCUGGGCAACCACAUGGGAAGGUCUCAAUAGUCUUUGGAAGGCAAGGCAUGAGUUGCUGUAAAGGGACAGAACUGGCAUCAUGAGGAUGAGUGGCAGAAACACCUCUGUGAGGACGACUGAAGCUGCUCUCGCAUCAAAGAGAGGUCAGGACUCACCCUUAGAAAUAUCGAGCGUAACCUCCGCCAUUCGGAAAAGGUGCAGGUGUUCAUAAAGCGCACACCAGUACACGCCGGAGUCCGGUGCCUGCACGUCCUCCAUGGUGAUGGUGACAAUCCCCCGCUGGCUGUCGUCCUGGAUCGUGACUCUGCCUUGCUGGGGUGCCCUGAGGUACCCUGAAGGCUUAGAAAUCGUGUUGACCAUGGCAGUACAUGCUGGCUGAGCUCCCUCUUUGCACCAGGCUUUGUUCAGAGCCCCAUAGUGCUGGGCGCUGUACUGGCACUGGACAGAGACAUUGCCUGACUCCUUGGCUGUGUAUUGUUGGAGCCCUGGAAAAGAGCCGGCACGCCUGGUGAGAUGCCAAUGCAGGCCCAGCAGCACCCCUUUGCCAGCCCUGGAAUAGGUGCUGUGGGCUGAGCGGUCCCUGGGUGUCCUUCUCCCUCCAGAGACGAGGAGCAGAAGGGGGCUGGAGGCAGAUUCCUGGCGCAGAGGUUGCUGUGUUCUUGAUCAUUGCUGCAGUAGCUGAAAACUUGUUAGAUGGGCCAGACAAGCCAAACCACAGAGCUGGGAGAUGUGCAUUGACUCCCUGGUAUGGACACACUUGCAAGAUGUCAUAAUGAAAACCAGGAGACUGACAGAUCAAAAGAAGCUCCCUGAUUCUGAAUGAGACCCACCUGGGGAAACUUUGUUCAUGGAGAACCUCAGGACAGGAAAGUUAGGAAGUUCAUUGAGCUGCCAUUUACAUAAACCGAAGCACCUGCUGAAUGUUAAGACAGAGCCAGUGCCUUCAAGGAAACUACCUGACACUGUAUUGGCAGGAGUUCUCUGUCUGUCCAGCUUUCAGUUCCUGUUUUCAUGCUAAAGCUGCAACACCAGUUACCUCAAAGUUCAAGGGCCUGCAUCGCAGGUUGCUCAUUUUCGGCGGUGCAAGAGCAGACCCUUGUCCUCUGGCUGCGCUGCAGAGACCCCAAGGAUAUUGGAUGACAGAACAUCGCCUGUGCUGGCUCCAGGCUCUCACCCACCCUGACGUUGUUCUUGCCAUUGGAAAGCAGUGCCUGCUAUCGAUAACUCCCUGAUUGAUGGUUGGGUAAACUCACCUUGUUUACCAAUGCGGGUGUCAUACUGACAACAAACAGGUCUCUACCUGAGUGUGUCAUAAGCGAGGGAGGACGGUAAAUAAGAAAUGACACGUAAUGCUGCAAAGCCUGGGGCUGCUGGAAACAAGGGAACAGAUUCCUGCUCUGCGUGGCACGUUGCAGCAGAAGCAAAUCGAAGGCUCGGUCAUCUCCUUGGAAAACACCGGAGAAAAUAACAUAAAGUGCUCGAAAAAAAAGGAGAAAGAAUGUUUUACCCUGUCACUAGAUUGCAGGGUCUUUGGUGCAGGGACCGCCUUUAUCCAGAGUUUGCCCAGCACACAGGGACGCUGCGGCAGGGCUGCCGAGCCAGCUCCGCGUGGGCACGAUGCACGCGGCCAGACGGCGCUGCCCUGGGGCAGAGGCACCUGGUGCAAACCCCCCUUGGAGCAGUCCCCGUGCCGUAGCUGCUGGCACAUGGACAGUGACCUGGGACACCCAAGCCGGCUGGCCAAGGCCCCCCCUAUACCUGGGCUGUGGCGGGAGCCCGGAUCGUGCCUCACCGCAUCCCCUCCUGCGCUGCAUCCAACCAGCGCUAAUUGCAGACGUGCCAGAAUCUCCUAAUUACACUGCUGUGGGUGCCAGGCAAACCCACGGCCUUGGUGAAACUAGCCUGGGCUUCAGCAGAAAGCCCACCAAAGUCUGCAGAAAAAGCCUCACUGAAGCCGCUAUCCUGGACAUACACAGGUACAAGUGAGGAUGGAGAAAGCCGCUUCUCCUGCCAUCUGCCCCGGCCAAGGUGCUGGGAGCCAGCGUGCAGGCCGCCAGCAAUGCUUCCCCCGCUCCCCAGGCAUCUCCGAGCACAUCCCGCCGCAUCCAGCCGUCCUGCCCCAACGCCCCCAGCCCCCCCCACCGGCAGGACCCCGGGGAACAGCCCUGUGCCCCCACAUGAUGCUUUUCUCCCUGCACGGUGUGGGCUGUUCUGCUGCUUGCAGAGGGGGCAGGAGGAGCAGGGGCUCCCAGGCAUGAAACCAUCCCUGGGGCGAUCCCUGGCUGACACAGCCAGGUCUCAGGAGGCCUCAGCUCUGCCCGUUGCAGACCAGCUUGACAAACCCUCCCAACCUGUGUUUGGACCUCUGGAUUUGGUUGAAACCUGGAGCAGUCACUGCAAAGCCCUGGGCGAGAGGCAAAAGGCUCCAGUUAAAAUCAAGGUGUGAUUUCUCAGCACUGUGCUCUUCCCACUAAGUGGUUCAGCUCCUCCAAACGCACUUUCAAUCUGUCUUCUCCCAUUUCUUCUUCUCCUGUUGCAGUCAGAAGCAGCAGAUCAGCCUUACUUGAAGCAGGACCAUCUAAUAUUUAAACUCAGGUCCAAUUCUUCCCAUUUACUUCCCAAGUGUCCUUGCGCACGCCAUUUCCCUCCGCCUCAGGUUCCCCACCUGUGAAAUAGGGCUGAAAACACACCGAGACAGUAUAAAGUGCCCCAGGCUGAACAGACAUCCUCGCUGUUCUGGCGGUAACUCUGAAGUCUCUCAUUUUUUGCCAGUGGUUUAAUGAAACCUGCUCUGCGAACCGAUCGGCGUGACGGCGGCGUGCCCCGUGGAGGUGCUGAGCCGUCUGUCACGGGCGCCGCUGAGAGCUGCUAGAAAUAUAUCAUCCCAGAGAGCCCCACACCGAUUGCUGGGAUGAAAAAUUUCAUGGGAAUAAUGUACGCCACGGGAUAGCAACGUGGGAUGCUGGAGCCACAGACCAGCAAUGCUGAGCGUGACACUAACAAGGACGAAACUUUUCAUUCACCCCUCCCUGCCCGGUCCCCUCCGCCCGUGCCGCACACGCACGCACGCACGCACCCACAUACGGAGUUUCUGGGUUUAUUUUAUAUUUUCCCUCGUAAAGAUUUGUGUCCGAGCUGCUCUCGUAUCAAAGCCAGCAGUGGCCCCUAGGAUAAACAUGCGGUCAGAAGACAGAAAACUCCAGGCUAAAACACUAUUCGUUUCACCCAUAGCAGCAUAAACUGAGAGGCUUUUAAGAAGGGCGAAUGGUUUUCAGUAAAUCUCUCAUAUCAG